AUUGAACGCUGGCGGCAGGCCUAACACAUGCAAGUCGAGCGGAUGAAGGGAGCUUGCUCCUGGAUUCAGCGGCGGACGGGUGAGUAAUGCCUAGGAAUCUGCCUGGUAGUGGGGGAUAACGUCCGGAAACGGGCGCUAAUACCGCAUACGUCCUGAGGGAGAAAGUGGGGGAUCUUCGGACCUCACGCUAUCAGAUGAGCCUAGGUCGGAUUAGCUAGUUGGUGGGGUAAAGGCCUACCAAGGCGACGAUCCGUAACUGGUCUGAGAGGAUGAUCAGUCACACUGGAACUGAGACACGGUCCAGGCUCCUACGGGAGGCAGCAGUGGGGAAUAAUGGACAAUGGGCGAAAGCCUGAUCCAGCCAUGCCGCGUGUGUGAAGAAGGUCUUCGGAUUGUAAAGCACUUUAAGUUGGGAGGAAGGGCAGUAAGUUAAUACCUUGCUGUUUUGACGUUACCAACAGAAUAAGCACCGGCUAACUUCGUG
This 484-nucleotide ribosomal RNA is filed under the name uncultured bacterium. RNAcentral's name for it is "partial 16S ribosomal RNA". It matches the Rfam family "Bacterial small subunit ribosomal RNA", at positions 30 to 507 of the family's 1533-position model. The record is from RNAcentral.